Molecule: ribosomal RNA, 157 nt
Filed under: Pilidium concavum
Lineage: Eukaryota; Fungi; Ascomycota; Leotiomycetes; Chaetomellales; Chaetomellaceae
Also listed under: 3 other names
Description: 5.8S ribosomal RNA
Rfam family: 5.8S ribosomal RNA
About the family: 5.8S ribosomal RNA (5.8S rRNA) is a component of the large subunit of the eukaryotic ribosome.
Source: RNAcentral
AAACUUUCAACAACGGAUCUCUUGGUUCUGGCAUCGAUGAAGAACGCAGCGAAAUGCGAUAAGUAAUGUGAAUUGCAGACACCGUGAAUCAUCGAAUCUUUGAACGCACAUUGCGCCCUUUGGUAUUCCGAAGGGCAUGCCUGUUCGAGCGUCAUUA